UACGUAGGAGGCAAGCGUUGUCCGGAGUUACUGGGCGUAAAGCGUGUGUAGGCGGUACCGUGCGUCUGAUGUGAAAUCUCCUGGCUUACCUGGGAGGGGGCAUUGGAAACGGCGGAACUUGAGGGCGUGAGAGGCGAGUAGAACUCCCGGUGGAACAGUGAAAUGUGUAGAGAUCGGGAAGAAUACCAGUGGUGCAGACGGCUCGCUGGCGCGUACCUGACGCUGAGACACGAAAGCUUGGGGAGCAAACAGG
Molecule: ribosomal RNA, 253 nt
Filed under: uncultured bacterium
Lineage: Bacteria
Description: partial 16S ribosomal RNA
Rfam family: Bacterial small subunit ribosomal RNA
Source: RNAcentral